This is a non-coding RNA of Cinara cedri, 207 nucleotides long. NCBI's taxonomy places the organism in Eukaryota, Metazoa, Arthropoda, Insecta, Hemiptera, Aphididae. The record is from the annotation of a GenBank genome assembly.
AUUAUCAGUUAUAUAGUGAUAUCAAUUUGAGUGUUAUAUCAAAAUUAUCGACAAACUCAGACAUUAUGUUAAACGAUAAAUUGCACCUAUAUUUCAAUAAAUUUAAUACGGACCAAAACAGACAGAUACAACAAAACGAAAAACAGCUAUAGAGCCACUGAUGCAUUGUGAUACAUAUUGCCCACAAGUAUUAAAGUUCUACUUGUU